CCGGCGGGGUGCUAUACAUGCAAGUCGAACGCGUUGGCCCAAUUGAUUGAUGGUGCUUGCACCUGAUUGAUUUUGGUCGCCAACGAGUGGCGGACGGGUGAGUAACACGUAGGUAACCUGCCCAGAAGCGGGGGACAACAUUUGGAAACAGAUGCUAAUACCGCAUAACAGCGUUGUUCGCAUGAACAACGCUUAAAAGAUGGCUUCUCGCUAUCACUUCUGGAUGGACCUGCGGUGCAUUAGCUUGUUGGUGGGGUAACGGCCUACCAAGGCGAUGAUGCAUAGCCGAGUUGAGAGACUGAUCGGCCACAAUGGGACUGAGACACGGCCCAUACUCCUACGGGAGGCAGCAGUAGGGAAUCUUCCACAAUGGGCGCAAGCCUGAUGGAGCAACACCGCGUGAGUGAAGAAGGGUUUCGGCUCGUAAAGCUCUGUUGUUAAAGAAGAACACGUAUGAGAGUAACUGUUCAUACGUUGACGGUAUUUAACCAGAAAGUCACGGCUAACUACGUGCCAGCAGCCGCGGUAAUACGUAGGUGGCAAGCGUUAUCCGGAUUUAUUGGGCGUAAAGAGAGUGCAGGCGGUUUUCUAAGUCUGAUGUGAAAGCCUUCGGCUUAACCGGAGAAGUGCAUCGGAAACUGGAUAACUUGAGUGCAGAAGAGGGUAGUGGAACUCCAUGUGUAGCGGUGGAAUGCGUAGAUAUAUGGAAGAACACCAGUGGCGAAGGCGGCUACCUGGUCUGCAACUGACGCUGAGACUCGAAAGCAUGGGUAGCGAACAGGAUUAGAUACCCUGGUAGUCCAUGCCGUAAACGAUGAGUGCUAGGUGUUGGAGGGUUUCCGCCCUUCAGUGCCGGAGCUAACGCAUUAAGCACUCCGCCUGGGGAGUACGACCGCAAGGUUGAAACUCAAAGGAAUUGACGGGGGCCCGCACAAGCGGUGGAGCAUGUGGUUUAAUUCGAAGCUACGCGAAGAACCUUACCAGGUCUUGACAUCUUGCGCCAACCCUAGAGAUAGGGCGUUUCCUUCGGGAACGCAAUGACAGGUGGUGCAUGGUCGUCGUCAGCUCGUGUCGUGAGAUGUUGGGUUAAGUCCCGCAACGAGCGCAACCCUUGUUACUAGUUGCCAGCAUUAAGUUGGGCACUCUAGUGAGACUGCCGGUGACAAACCGGAGGAAGGUGGGGACGACGUCAGAUCAUCAUGCCCCUUAUGACCUGGGCUACACACGUGCUACAAUGGACGGUACAACGAGUCGCGAACUCGCGAGGGCAAGCAAAUCUCUUAAAACCGUUCUCAGUUCGGACUGCAGGCUGCAACUCGCCUGCACGAAGUCGGAAUCGCUAGUAAUCGCGGAUCAGCAUGCCGCGGUGAAUACGUUCCCGGGCCUUGUACACACCGCCCGUCACACCAUGAGAGUUUGUAACACCCAAAGUCGGUGGGGUAACCUUUUAGGAGCCAGCCGCCUAAGGUGACAGAUUG
This 1478-nucleotide ribosomal RNA is filed under the name Limosilactobacillus fermentum. RNAcentral's name for it is "bacterial SSU rRNA". It matches the Rfam family "Bacterial small subunit ribosomal RNA". Lineage: Bacteria; Bacillati; Bacillota; Bacilli; Lactobacillales; Lactobacillaceae. The record is from RNAcentral.